GGUUUGAUGUUUGGGAAACACUGGACCUUGAACGU
RNAcentral lists this transfer RNA (35 nucleotides) under Lumbricus castaneus. RNAcentral describes it as "partial tRNA-Ser". Lineage: Eukaryota; Metazoa; Annelida; Clitellata; Crassiclitellata; Lumbricidae. The record is from RNAcentral.